GGAGGGUUAUAGCUCAGUGGUUGAGCACGUACUUCCCAAGUACGAGGUCCUGGGUUCAAUCCCCAGUACCUCCA
Molecule: transfer RNA, 74 nt
Filed under: Dasypus novemcinctus (nine-banded armadillo)
Lineage: Eukaryota; Metazoa; Chordata; Mammalia; Cingulata; Dasypodidae
Description: tRNA-Gly (CCC) (tRNA-Gly-CCC-19-1)
Rfam family: tRNA
About the family: Transfer RNA (tRNA) molecules are approximately 80 nucleotides in length. Their secondary structure includes four short double-helical elements and three loops (D, anti-codon, and T loops).
Source: RNAcentral